GUAGGGGAUGCCGAAAACCUCAAAGAGUAGGCA
RNAcentral lists this non-coding RNA (33 nucleotides) under unclassified sequences. RNAcentral describes it as "DUF805b RNA". It matches the Rfam family "DUF805b RNA". Rfam says of the family: Bacteroidetes, Chlorobi (1 example), Proteobacteria. The record is from RNAcentral.